This 2409-nucleotide long non-coding RNA is filed under the name Mus musculus (house mouse). RNAcentral describes it as "long non-coding RNA chr4:129275671-129278080". The record is from RNAcentral. Lineage: Eukaryota; Metazoa; Chordata; Mammalia; Rodentia; Muridae.
CAGCAGGAGGCAGAGCUUCAAGUGAGGAGAAUGUGGGAGUGGAAGAGGGACGAAGAAACGUACAGAUCAUAUGUGCACUGGGAACAGAGGCACCGCCGCGGCGUCUAGAGCAGCCUACGGGACUGUCAGAAGGGACACUCCAAGAAGGACAGAAGAAACUGCUGAGUUGGGGGUCUGCCUAUGGUGGCCUGCCGAUGUCUGUUUUAGAACUAAGCAGCUGGGUGGGAGUCCCACAGAGUCUGAGAGAAGGUCCCUGUCACCCUCACCAGGAAACGAGAUUUAACUUCAGCUUUCCACUCGGGGUCCAGGUAAGAACCGCAAAGACUGCCGGGCUGUUCUCUAGGGAUCCCUGUAUCCCUCCUAAGCUAUAGGAUUGCAUUCUCCAUGUUAAAGCCCAGGAAAUACAGUCCCAAGAGUCCAGAGACACAGGAGGGUGAGGAGGCUGGCUUUAUACUCCAGUCUCCUGAGUCUAAUGCCUGGCUCUUUCCCUGGCGUCCACACCCAUGGCUUUCCAGUGUUCCUUUCAAACGGGUGGAGCUAUUGCUAUUGUGUGUUUACUUAUUUAUUUAUUGUGGUACUGGGGAUUGGACAUAGGAUCUCAUGUAUACAGAGCUACAUAGCCCUCAUUAAUUUCUAAUCAUUCGUGUGUAUGUGUGUGUGUGUGUGUGUGUGUGUGUGUGUGUGUGUGUGUGUGUGUGUGUUAACACAACGUCCUAUGUAACCCAAGCUGGCUUCUAUCUAGCUCAGCUAUGGAACUAAGGAUGACCUCGAACAAGUCAUCUUCCUGCCUCAACCGAAUGCUGGAAUUGGACGCACACUAUACAGCCUCUUGCAUGUUAGAUAAGCACUCUGCCCACUGAGUGAUAUCCCAGGCCUCUUUAUUACUAAUUACUGCUUUGAUGACCAGGCUCCUCCCUCCAGGCUAUUUGCACAGUCGGUUCAGAAAAGACAAGUCCGGUGCGCCCCCGCGCGGUCACUAAAGGAAACACACGUCCUGCUGUGGCAGGCGCCUGAGUGGGAAAGGUGAGGUCUGUGUGGCGUCCCCUGUAGGCUGCGCUAGACAUCGCAGGCGAGUUAAUCUGUGGACGCCGCGGGUGACUCGCUCACUCACCUGGUGCCUUGUUAGACAAUCAGCUGAAUCAUGGUACACAACAGUGGGAGCAAGGAGGACAAAGGAAAGGCAGGGAAUAACAUCGUCUCUUGUAAACUACGAAAAGAGGUCAGUAUCCCCUCUCCCCCUUUAUUUCUGAGAUUUUGAUUGUUUGGUUUGGUUUUUUUGAGACAGGGUUUCUCUGUGUAGCCUUGGCUGUCCUGGAACUCUCUCUGUAGACCAGGCCUUCAACUCACAGAGAUCUGCCUGCCUCUACCUCUCAGGCACUGAGGCUAAAGCCGUGCACCACCCAGCUGUUUUUCCAUUUAACAUACACAUCUAACAUAGAAGCAAAACCUGAGCCAGGAAUGGUGGCACACGCCUUUAAUCUCAGCACUCAGGAGGCAGAGGCAGGCAGAUUUCUGAGUUCGAGGCCAGCCUGGUCUACAAAGUGAGUUCCAAGGACAAAAAAGAAAGAAAAAAGGAAGCAAAACCUGACCUCGAGGGAGAUUAAGUGAUCUAUCAAGAGAGUUGUCUGGUUGGUUGCUUUGUUUGUUUGUUUUUGUUUUUGUUUUUUUUUCGAGACAGGUUUCUCUGUAUCGCCCUGGCUGUCCUGGAACUCACACUGUAGACCAGGUGGCCUCGAACUCAGAAAUCUGCCUGCCUCUGCCUCCCAAGUGCUGGGAUCAAAGGCUUACGCCACCACCACCCAGCUCAAGAGAGUUGUCUGUAAUCUGUACAGAAAUCUGCCUGUGGCCAUGAUACAGUUCCUGGGGAGUAUGCUUGAGAGAGUCGAGUCUGUGGUUCCCGCCACCCUGACCAUAAGCCUCCCGGGGUCCAGGAUAAUGACACCUAAGUAGAAGACAGGGGUGGGGGAGGAGGUAUCGGAUGCUAGGUGCUAUCAAUCCUGCAAGUGUGACUCUUUUUUGUUUUCUUUUGUUGUUGUUGUUUUUGGUUUUGGUUUAUUUUUCGAGUGUUUUUCUUUUCUUUUUUUCUUUUCUUUUUUUUCUUUCUUUCUUUUUUUUUUUUUUUUUGUUUGUUUUUUUUUGGUUUUUCGAGACAGGGUUUCUCUGUAGAGCCCUGGCUGUCCUGGAACUCACUUUGUAGACCAGGCUGGCCUCGAACUCAGAAAUCUGCCUGCCUCUGCCUCCCGAGUGCUGGGAUUAAAGGCGUGCGCCACCACACCCGGCUGUGUUUUCUUUUUCUAAUAAUUAAUUUGUUUUUAUUUUAUGCGCAUUGGUGUUUCAUCUGCAUGUAUAUCUGUGUGAGGGUGUCAGGUUCCCUGGAACUGGAGUUGCAGUGGUGAGCUACCAUGUGGG